Molecule: ribosomal RNA, 232 nt
Filed under: uncultured bacterium
Lineage: Bacteria
Description: partial 16S ribosomal RNA
Rfam family: Bacterial small subunit ribosomal RNA
Source: RNAcentral
CGGACGGGUGAGUAAUGUCUGGGAAACUGCCCGAUGGAGGGGGAUAACUACUGGAAACGGUAGCUAAUACCGCAUAACGUCGCAAGACCAAAGAGGGGGACCUUAGGGCCUCUUGCCAUCGGAUGUGCCCAGAUGGGAUUAGCUAGUAGGUGGGGUAAUGGCUUACCUAGGCGACGAUCCCUAGCUGGUCUGAGAGGAUGAUCAGCCACACUGGGACUGAGACACGGCCCAG